RNAcentral lists this ribosomal RNA (497 nucleotides) under uncultured bacterium. RNAcentral's name for it is "partial 16S ribosomal RNA". It matches the Rfam family "Bacterial small subunit ribosomal RNA", at positions 28 to 507 of the family's 1533-position model. The record is from RNAcentral.
GAUGAACGCUGGCGGCGUGCCUAAUACAUGCAAGUCGAGCGAACAGACGAGGAGCUUGCUCCUCUGACGUUAGCGGCGGACGGGUGAGUAACACGUGGAUAACCUACCUAUAAGACUGGGAUAACUUCGGGAAACCGGAGCUAAUACCGGAUAAUAUAUUGAACCGCAUGGUUCAAUAGUGAAAGACGGUUUUGCUGUCACUUAUAGAUGGAUCCGCGCCGCAUUAGCUGGUUGGUAAGGUAACGGCUUACCAAGGCAACGAUGCGUAGCCGACCUGAGAGGGUGAUCGGCCACACGGGAACUGAGACACGGUCCAGACUCCUACGGGAGGCAGCAGUAGGGAAUCUUCCGCAAUGGGCGAAAGCCUGACGGAGCAACGCCGCGUGAGUGAUGAAGGUCUUCGGAUCGUAAAACUCUGUUAUUAGGGAAGAACAAAUGUGUAAGUAACUAUGCACGUCUUGACGGUACCUAAUCAGAAAGCCACGGCUAACUACGUG